CAAAUAAAAAAUUUUGACUCCUUUUUUCUUACACCUUACCAUCUUAUAUUUUAGUAAAUCUUGUCAAAAUGUAUCCGUAAUUCAGUAAUUCAAUCACCUUCAUCACCUCCAAUGGGAUCACCCUGCUUCAAAACCCACCAGCACUUUCCUGGAAUAUUAUAAUGACUUCACUUUUUCCCCAUACUCAUGACAUACUUAUGCCUUUUACUUAACUAUUUUUUAAUUUUCCACUUCUCCCCAUUAGCACAUGACUUUUCUGAGGACGGGUUGUUCUAUUUUAUUUACUGUGGUAUUGUCAACUCUUAGAACAAUGCCUCUCUCAGUUAUUUGCUGGGUUAAUUAAUUAGUGAGUGCUGCAAAAAACGGUGUCAAGUACUAAUCCCAUUCGAGGCAGGUAGGCUGCCCCGCAAAUGAUAAGGCAGCUGGGAAAAAACUUUUCCUUAGUGAUUUGGACAAGAGGCUGAGAUAUACUCGAUUUGGCUCUUAGAAUGUCGAUUUGCAUAAUGUUAUAAAAAUGCAACUCACUCAUGCAGGCAGGCAAAUAGUGACCGUAUCUGCAGAGCUGAGCACCAGCCACACCAUGUAGACCGUAAGUCUUUUACUCACUGUGGAUCUUCCCAUUCAUUUUCUUGCUUUAUGCUGGGGCCAGGUGUCAAUUGCCAUUUGCCAUUGCACUUACACUAUUAUCUGUCUUGUAGUAGAGAAUUAUUUCUUUGGACUCAUCUCUGUUGGAAGUAGGGAAGUGAAAAGAUAAACCAAGAAAGCCAUGUAUUUUCAAAAGAAAGAGAGAUUGUGCUUUUUGUGGAAGUCAAAAAUAUUCCUCUCUGUUUAAUAGGCAAAAUGUAACUAUGUCAAAGAAUGCAACAUAAAAAAACCAUUAUGAAAUAAACUGUACUAAAAACCAUUGCCAGUACAUAGAAACGCAUAUGUGAGUGCCAGUAUGAAUAGAAUCAGAUUAAUGAAUUAAUUUAUUUCAACAGGACUUGAUUGUAAAUGAAAAAUGUAAAAAUAAUAAUGCUGUGAAAUUCAGAUGUAUAUUAAGUGAAAAAACUGCAUCAAAACAUUUAACAGAUGAGGUUACUGCUCUGAGGACCAGAUGCCAGGCCAAAGACUCAAGCUGUUGGUACACAUUUGCUCUAGGCACAAGGCAGUGACCACAUGUGUGGACACUUGCUUCUUACCACUCACCAUCAUGAUCCUGCUCUGAGACCAUCUAGGCCCAGUGAGUGGCUUUAUAAAUUAGACCUUGAAUCAGAGGCUCUUUUCCUCAUUAGAAUGUGGUCUCAACUGCUCCCUUUUCCCUGUAAUCCAGAGGAUGUUGGAUGAUUCAAGAAAAUUCCUGUUUCUUGUGACUUUAGUUUUCCUAGUCCUUUGUAAAAAUUUGAGACACCAUAACAUAUGAUGAUGCUGGGAAGGAGAAUAAAGGUAACCCCACCCUAUACAGAGAGGGCUUGGGAGAAAUAGCAGGGUUAUCUUUAGGUGUGUCUAACCCAUAAAUCCCCAAUCUGUGAUCUAUGACAAAGUGAGCAGUGACCCUUAGCACAAAAGUGGAUGGAAAGAAGGAGCAUGGAACUCAGAGGCAUUGUUAGGUAGACUGCUGGAUAGGAGGUUAUCCUGAAACUAAUGUAACAUUGUAUAUCAACUACACUCAAAUAAGUGCAAAACAGCAUAUAUUGCAUGCUAUAUUUGUUUUUAAGCAAGAAAAACAAUAAAACAACAAACAUAUCUAAUGUUGCGGGGGAAAAAAGGAAAUUAUAUUUCCUCCUCCUCUUUAUCCCCUUUUCUACAUUUCCUAAAAGCAGGCAUUGUUACAGAGGCCUCUUCCAUGCAAAGGUCGGAUCAGGUCUCUCUGAGGAGAUAAUAUUUCAGCUCUGAGACCUUCUCGUACACAGCUAAGGAAUUCUUUGAGGGAAGGUAAUUGUUUGGGUGGGCUAAUAGGAGAAUCGGGUCAUAAUUAGUUAUUUUCAGUUUCCGAUUUUGUUCUAAAUAAAAUGUCUAUUUAUUUCUUUUCUCUAUAUGUAACUUAAAGGCUUAUCUUUUUCUUGGUAACCUUCAGGCAUUCUUUGUAAAAUAAAGAUAAUAACCACUUGUCUAAUGUUGCAAAUACUCCCCCCCCCCCGUUGUCAUUUGUCUUCUAUUUUGACUGAAGAUCUUUUUUUUUUUUUACAUAAAAAUGCUUGAGUUCAAAAUUUAUUAGUCAUUUUGAUGACUCUCUUUCCCUCACACCAUGAUGCAUUUGGGACACCUGUGAAAGGGAGAGAAAAGGGUGGAAAUUUGAGUAAGAGGAGCUUCCGUGUGCAUGAAACUCUGAGAAAGUCUCAGCCAGGCUGUGAGAUGCCCCAGAGAAAAGAUUAUCCAGUCAGAGGAGUCCUGCAUCAGAGAGGGACAGCCUGGGUAAUUGGCCGCUGCCCUGCUUCUUGUUGGCUGGGUGUAGCCGAGGAAUAUCCAGACCUUGAGCUGAACAGUGAGGCAGAUGCCAUAGUGUGGUAUCCACAGACUGCCUGUUACGUUCUUCUCAUCAGGUUCUCUGCACGGGAGAUGUGAACAGGGCAUGCGCACAACCGUCACAGCCUGCCCUGCUGUGGCGCACAAAUCCACGUCCACACUUUUGUCCUACAUGCUUUCCAUGGGCCGCUUUUUCUGAAGAGUUCUAAUAUUAUCCAAUGGGGUACAUGUCAAAAGAAACAGGCAUAUUAUUGGAACAAAAAUUGCAAGGGUCCAUCACUUCCCGCAUGAAGCAUGUGUAUGCUUCUUUUUUGGCAAGGUGCUAGCCUUGAAAAUACCAAUGGAGUUAUAAGGGGAGAUGAGAAAGAAGACACCAGAGGAUUGGUAAGCCUCUCUCUCAGCAUUCUGGUCAUCUUUAAAAUGCCAGGGGAGAUAUGUGGAGAUAACAGAAAUAGGAAUGUAUACUGGCGCCAGCCCGUGUCCUCUACUUUCCUCUUUCAAGGUCAACGGCCUUACUAUAAUUCUUUUUCUGUGUUUGUUUUUGAAUAGGAAAUAAACUCGGAUGGUUCAAAAAUCAAAAAAUAUUAAAGGCAGAGAGUGAAAACUUUUGUUUUUCCUCCACAGUCCUUCAUCUACCUAAUCCUGGUGACAACUACUUGUAGCUUGUACUUAACUAGCUUUUCAUGUAUUCUUACAAAGUUCCUUUAUAUAGUACAAAGAAAUGGGUAGGGAAAUCCCUAUCAAUACAUAAUUUCCCCCGUUCUUUGUUACCAUAGUGUUAUACGGCAUCAGUGUCCCAACAUCAAUCCACAGCCCCUCACUGAUUCCCGUGUUGAUCCACCAUUCCCUUCUUAAUUAGUUCCAAACAAUUACUAUUACAAAUAAUAUAGUGAAUUGCUUUACGUAUACGUCAUUUUCCACCAAUAUGAAUAUGUGUGUAAGUUCCCAGAUGAGGAAUUACUGGGCCAUAAGGUAUAUGCAUUUUUAAUUUGGUAUUUCAGCACGGUUACUCUCCUUAGGGACCCCAGCAAUUUAUAUUCCUGACUAGCAAAGCAGUAGCGCUUAUCUCCUACAGCCCCACACCCUCAACAGUGUAUCAACUUGCAUCCUGCCAUAUAUUUAAAAGCAAUUCAUACUUCCGUUUCUGUGAACACUCUGCUUAUACUGUCUGUCCAUUUAUCUGUUAUUGGUCUUUUUCUUAUCAACUCUGAAGAAUUCUUUACAUGUUUGGGAGAUUAGCCCUGUGUCUAUGAUAUAAGAUACACAUACUUUUUCUCAGUCUGUCUUUUGCUUUGUUUAUGGUGUUUGCUUUGUAGAAGUUUUCUAUACACAGAGAGAUUUUGUCAAUCUUUUCUUUUAUGACUUCUGGGUUUUGAAUAGUUUUUGCAUAGUUAGAGAUUUCCUCACUCCAAAGUAAUAAAAGAAAUAACUUGUUUUUGUUUUUUUUUCCUAUACCUUAUGAUGUGAGGUAGGGAUCCAACUUAAUUCUGUUUCAAAUGACUACCUAUUGCCAAUACAAUUUAUUAAAGAGUCCACCUUUUCCAUCAUUGACUUUGCAUACAACCUGUAGCACAUACUAAAUUAAUUCAUUUGUAUGGGACAAUUUAUGUACUUUUUACUCUGAAUCAACAGGUUGUCAAGCAACAGCCUCCCACAGUUCUAAUUACAGAGGUUUUUCUCAUAUGUUAUAUUAUUUCAUAAUGUUAUAAUAUAAUUUGGUUUUAUGUCUAGUGAAAGUACCCUAUUGCUCUUUUUUUAAUCAGAGAUUUUUUUUAGCUAUUCUUGUUUGUUUGUUUGUUUGUUUUUCCAAGUGAAAUUCAGAAUCAGCUUGUAUGUCCCCCCCCAAAAAAAAAACCCCUAUUAGUAUCUAUAUUGGAAUCAGAUUAACUUCAUAAAUUAAUUUAGGAUAAAUGAUAUCCUUUGGUUAUGGUUUGGGUCCAAAAGUAUUAUGUGUCUUUCCAUUUGCAUAAGUUGUCUUCUAUAUCAGUGGCACAUUAAAAUCUUUAUUCAUAUAAGACUUGCUCUGUUCCAGUUAAGUUCAUUCUUGGAUGUUUUCUCUUUUUGACUGCUACUCGAAGUAGGAUCUUUUCUAUCAUGGUAGCUUCUAAUAAUUGUUUGUAUAUGGAGAUGUCUCUAUGUUAAAUCUACAUCUGCUCUAUCUUAGGGAAUUUUUUAUUACUCAUUUGAAACACUUUGGCUGAUUCUUUAGGGUUUUCAGGUAUACAACCAUAUCAUUUUUAAAUAUUGAUAGUUCAACCUCCUCCUUUAUUAUUUUCUACCUUUAUUACCUUAUUCUGAUGUCUAUUUCUUGUUGUUUCUAUGUUUUCUUGUCAUGGUCCUUCAAGUAAGAUAUUCCUGAUUUAGUCAGAGUGCCUCUAGUGUUCCACAAGGCUGGCUGGAUAUGUCAUAUUAAGAAGUAGCCAUCUAAUGUGAAUUUUUAGAGUAUUUUGGAGGUCAAAACUGGAAUUGAAAAUUUUAUCAAAUGACUCUUCAGCUUCCGUGGAGAUGAUCAUC
Molecule: long non-coding RNA, 4959 nt
Organism: Panthera uncia (snow leopard)
Lineage: Eukaryota; Metazoa; Chordata; Mammalia; Carnivora; Felidae
Exons: 3
Source: RefSeq, a predicted model, not a curated record